UGGGAAUUUGGACAAUGGGCGAAGCCUGAUCCAGCAAUGCCGCGUGUGUGAAGAAGGCCUUCGGGUUGUAAAGCACUUUUGUCCGGAAAGAAAUCCUUGGCUCUAAUACAGUCGGGGGAUGACGGUACCGGAAGAAUAAGCACCGGCUAACUACGUGCCAGCAGCCGCGGUAAUACGUAGGGUGCAAGCGUUAAUCGGAAUUACUGGGCGUAAAGCGUGCGCAGGCGGUUUGCUAAGACCGAUGUGAAAUCCCCGGGCUCAACCUGGGAACUGCAUUGGUGACUGGCAGGCUAGAGUAUGGCAGAGGGGGGUAGAAUUCCACGUGUAGCAGUGAAAUGCGUAGAGAUGUGGAGGAAUACCGAUGGCGAAGGCAGCCCCCUGGGCCAAUACUGACGCUCAUGCACGAAAGCGUGGGGAGCAAACAGGAUUAGAUACCCUGGUAGUCCACGCCCUAAACGAUGUCAACUAGUUGUUGGGAUUCAUUCCUUAGUAACGUAGCUAACGCGUGAAGUUGACCGCCUGGGGAGUACGGUCGCAAGAUUAAAACUUAAAGGAAUUGACGGGGU
RNAcentral lists this ribosomal RNA (566 nucleotides) under uncultured bacterium. RNAcentral describes it as "partial 16S ribosomal RNA". It matches the Rfam family "Bacterial small subunit ribosomal RNA", at positions 357 to 919 of the family's 1533-position model. The record is from RNAcentral.